RNAcentral lists this ribosomal RNA (734 nucleotides) under uncultured Alphaproteobacteria bacterium. Its description in RNAcentral is "bacterial SSU rRNA". It matches the Rfam family "Bacterial small subunit ribosomal RNA", at positions 772 to 1500 of the family's 1533-position model. The record is from RNAcentral. Lineage: Bacteria; Pseudomonadati; Pseudomonadota; Alphaproteobacteria.
ACAGGAUUAGAUACCCCUGGUAGUCCACGCCGUAAACGAUGAAACUAGCUGUUAAGGGGCCUUAGGCCUUUGGUGGCGCAGCUAACGCAUUAAGUUAUCCGCCUGGGGAGUACGGCCGCAAGGUUAAGACUCAAAGAAAUUGACGGGGGCCUGCACAACGGUGGAGCAUGUGGUUUAAUUCGAAGCAACGCGCAGAACCUUACCAGCGUUUUGACAUCCCUUAUCGCGGUUACCAGAGAUGGUUUCCUUCAGUUCGGCUGGAUAGGUGACAGGUGCUGCAUGGCUGUCGUCAGCUCGUGUCGUGAGAUGUUGGGUUAAGUCCCGCAACGAGCGCAACCCUCGUCUUUAGUUGCCAGCAUUUAGUUGGGCACUCUAAAGAAACCGCCGGUGAUAAGCCGGAGGAAGGUGGGGAUGACGUCAAGUCCUCAUGGCCCUUACACGCUGGGCUACACACGUGCUACAAUGGCGGUGACAGUGGGCUGCAAUCCCGCGAGGGUGAGCAAAUCUCCAAAAGCCGUCUCAGUUCGGAUUGGACUCUGCAACUCGAGUCCAUGAAGGCGGAAUCGCUAGUAAUCGCGGAUCAGCAUGCCGCGGUGAAUACGUUCCCAGGCCUUGUACACACCGCCCGUCACACCAUGGGAGUUGGUUUCACCCGAAGGCAGUGCUCUAACCCGCAAGGGAGGAAGCUGACCACGGUGGGAUCAGCGACUGGGGUGAAGUCGUAACAAGGUAGC